GUGGGGAACCUUGCGCAAUGGGCGAAAGCCUGACGCAGCCAUGCCGCGUGAAUGGUGAAGGUCUUAGGAUUGUAAAAUUCUUUCACCGGGGACGAUAAUGACGGUACCCGGAGAAGAAGCUCCGGCUAACUUCGUGCCAGCAGCCGCGGUAAUACGAAGGGGGCUAGCGUUGCUCGGAAUUACUGGGCGUAAAGGGCGCGUAGGCGGACAGGUUAGUCAGAGGUGAAAGCCCAGGGCUCAACCUUGGAAUUGCCUUUGAUACUGGCUGUCUUGAGUUUGGGAGAGGUGAGUGGAACUCCGAGUGUAGGGGUGAAAUUCGUAGAUAUUCGGAAGAACACCAGUGGCGAAGGCGACUCACUGGCCCGUUACUGACGCUGAGGCGCGAAAGCGUGGGGAGCAAACAGGAUUAGAAACCCUAGUAGUCC
Molecule: ribosomal RNA, 425 nt
Filed under: uncultured bacterium
Lineage: Bacteria
Description: partial 16S ribosomal RNA
Rfam family: Bacterial small subunit ribosomal RNA
Source: RNAcentral